AUGUGUGCAGGACACAUAAGCCGAGGGAGCUGGAUAGCUGCACUGAGGCAGGUCACUCCGCACUGCGAACAGCCAGCAGCUCGGCCUUUGGGCUUUCCAGGCAGCUCCUCUAGAUCGACUGGGAGGAGAGAAGUUAGUUCUCUGCAAAGCAGCUCUACCAAAACCAGCCCGGAGGCUGACAGGAAUACAGGUGGUCAACUGAGUGCAAGCUGAGAGAAAACAGGCCAGCCCUUCCCACUGACCAGUUCUCCUGAGGGGAGGUUUCCGGUUGUCCUUUCCUGUGAUGAGAGCACUUCAGAGUCAUACACUUCAAAAAAUCUGACUGAAGAUGCCAGGAGAGCCCCUGAUGACUGAGGACAACUCUUGAACCCCAACUGAACUCCUGAUUUCUCAGGACAGGCUGAAUCUUUAUUCCCUGAAUUAUCUCUGUAGAUGGACCAUACUACGCAAUGUCUCCCCAGCGCACUCAAAAUGCCUUUAAGCCCACUAAGAGCUGACAAAAUUCCAUCGUCGUGAUCGCUUCAACAUGGCACAUAAGCGUGAAGGAUAUCAGUUAUGGCAGAGGAAGCGAAGUCCAGGCUGGAGCCAAAGAAGCUUAGUGGGUGUACAGGCUCCAGGCUGAGAGAAGUACAACGUUUCUUCUUCCUCAGCUGCGAGCAGGGAGUUCACUCCCCCAUUGCUCUAUGUAUCCAGCCCGGGAGCAUUUACUGAUGCUUGUCCACCAGCAGAGGCUUUAGCCUGUUGCUGCACACAUGCACACACACUCAAUAGCAAGCUCCUAUCCCAGGAUUAUAGCAAGAUGGCAGCCCUGAAACAAAAACACUGCUAUAAGGGGAAGCGCUUGAAAAACAUUUGUUUUAUUUUUCCACUUUUGUUUUGCAUGACUUCCUACAAUCUCCUGAAUAUAAUCCAGACCUUCAGCAGCUGCAAACCAUGAUAUCAGGCGUUGAUAAAUUUAUUUUGUAAAAUAUCCACAGCACUCUCAUUUUAUCACAAUGCCGCCUGUGAGGAGGAAGGGCAAAGGAUCCGUUUGAAUUCCCAGCCAUCUUGCAUCUUCAGUUUCUGUGUAUUUUGCAUCUGGGGAAGCUGACAGUCUCUCUAAAAACUUUUUGUUCUCACAGUUAAAACUUGAAUCCGUGCCUUCUUUUUCUGGCUCCUACACAAUGUUUUGUGCUCAGCUUUCUUUUU
RNAcentral lists this long non-coding RNA (1188 nucleotides) under Phasianus colchicus (ring-necked pheasant). Its description in RNAcentral is "lncRNA (ENSPCLG00000015804.1)". Lineage: Eukaryota; Metazoa; Chordata; Aves; Galliformes; Phasianidae. The record is from RNAcentral.